RNAcentral lists this long non-coding RNA (270 nucleotides) under Brassica napus (rape). RNAcentral's name for it is "long non-coding RNA (BNAP_LNC002090)". Lineage: Eukaryota; Viridiplantae; Streptophyta; Magnoliopsida; Brassicales; Brassicaceae. The record is from RNAcentral.
GGGUCGCUUGGAUUUUGAAGAUCCGGCAGGGGCGGAGCUAGACGACGCCGUAUUGGAAGGCAUAGCUGAGGGAAAAAGUGAGAGGGAUUGUGCGUGGGAGGAAGGAGGAAAUAGAGAAAGGGAGUAGGAAGAUGAAGGAAGCUUGGUCGUCGUCAAAGGCGACGGCUUUAAGACGAAUUAAGGUACGAUCUAGAAGAAAAGAAAACCCCCAAAUCGAAGUUUCGUAGAUCCUCCUCUCCUCCCUCUCCCAUGGCUGAUUUGGUCAAAGUC